RNAcentral lists this ribosomal RNA (238 nucleotides) under uncultured bacterium. Its description in RNAcentral is "partial 16S ribosomal RNA". It matches the Rfam family "Bacterial small subunit ribosomal RNA", at positions 96 to 334 of the family's 1533-position model. The record is from RNAcentral.
UGGCGGACGGGUGAGUAACGCGUGGGUAACCUGCCUCAUACAGGGGGAUAACAGUUAGAAAUGACUGCUAAUACCGCAUAAGACCACAGCACCGCAUGGUGCAGGGGUAAAAACUCCGGUGGUAUGAGAUGGACCCGCGUCUGAUUAGCUAGUUGGUGGGGUAACGGCCUACCAAGGCGACGAUCAGUAGCCGACCUGAGAGGGUGACCGGCCACAUUGGGACUGAGACACGGCCCAA